CAUGCACCGGUGGGGUCCCUCGGCCUGGCCUGCACCUUCUUGCAUUCCAGGACUCCUCGGGGGAUGUCGGAGAGCUGGUUUUGGCCCGAUCCUGCAGGCCAGGCCGAGGGACCCUACUGGUGCACG
This 126-nucleotide microRNA precursor is filed under the name Myotis davidii. RNAcentral describes it as "mir-9193 microRNA precursor family". It matches the Rfam family "mir-9193 microRNA precursor family". The record is from Rfam by way of RNAcentral. Lineage: Eukaryota; Metazoa; Chordata; Mammalia; Chiroptera; Vespertilionidae.